This 497-nucleotide ribosomal RNA is filed under the name uncultured bacterium. RNAcentral describes it as "partial 16S ribosomal RNA". It matches the Rfam family "Bacterial small subunit ribosomal RNA", at positions 28 to 507 of the family's 1533-position model. The record is from RNAcentral.
GAUGAACGCUGGCGGCGUGCCUAACACAUGCAAGUCGAGCGAACGGACGAGAAGCUUGCUCCUUUGCUGUUAGCGGCGGACGGGCGAGUAACACGUGGAUAACCUACCUAUAUGACUGGGAUAACUUCGGGAAACCGGAUCUAAUACCGGAUAAUAUUUUGUACCGCAUGGUUCAAAAGUGAAAGACGGUCUUGCUGUUACUUAUAGAUGGUUCCGCGUUGCAUUAGCUAGUUGGUAAGGUAACGGCUUACCAAGGCAACGAUGCGUAGCCGACCUGAGAGGGUGAUCGGCCACACUGGAACUGAGACACGGUCCAGACUCCUACGGGAGGCAGCAGUAGGGAAUCUUCCGCAAUGGGCGAAAGCCUGACGGAGCAACGCCGCGUGAGUGAUGAAGGUCUUCGGAUCGUAAAACUCUGUUAUUAGGAAAGAACAGAUGUGUAAGUAACUGUGCACAUCUUGACGGUACCUAAUCAGAAAGCCACGGCUAACUACGUG